UGUGCACACUGUUAGAGCUUGGAGUAAGGUCACAGCUGGCCAAUGAACCCACAAGUGUAGGUAGCAUGCCACAUUAGUGGCAAGCUUUUAACUAACAUUCUACUCUAGCCCAGUGAAUGGAGCUUGACAGUAACCCAUGCUACAAGU
Molecule: small nucleolar RNA, 147 nt
Filed under: Castor canadensis (American beaver)
Lineage: Eukaryota; Metazoa; Chordata; Mammalia; Rodentia; Castoridae
Source: RNAcentral